UUUUUUUUCUUUUAAAAAAACCUCAACCAUAUACAUAGGCAGCUUUCUCAGGACCGCAUUAUCUGGCUAUAAAAUCUGAUGAUAUGGCUUCUAGGUGCCUGGGGCUGUGGUGUGGGGAGCGGAAGAGGGGAUUUUUAAGGCCAUUUGUAUUAAAAAAAAUGUAAGAAAGAACAAGUAAGAUGUGGUUAUGUCAAGCCACUUUCCUGGGGUGAAAACGAAGCCUGCUGCUAAUGGAGCCCAGAGUCUUAUAUUUCAUCCCAUGUAUAAAAUAAGACAGGCACUGUUGGCUCUGACAGGCAUCUUGGGCCUUUUUUUUCUAGUCGAGGUCUCCAGAGAGCUCAAAGAAAUGAUGCUGUUUCCAGAUGAAGUGCGGAUGGAUUACACUCUGUUACCUCUGCGGCUUUCAGCUCCAGAGGCUCUAGCUAGGAGAGAGAAAGCUGCUACUUUAAGAACAUUUGCAUCACUGGGCUAACCCUUCGUUGUGGGUGUUUCUUCCACAGCAAAACACCAUCCAACCAACUUUCCAAUGAGCCCUGAAGUUUUCAUUUCACCAAGGAGUCUCCAAGGAAGAACCUGGAACUAAACCUGAGGGAGCCUCUGUGGAAUAAGAGAGUUACAGAAAAUAGCUUUUCCAUGGUAUGUUAUUGCUUGGCCCAGUUUCUUGCGUGCGCCGGACUGGCCAGCAGUAAUGACGCUGCAACAGGAUCCUUCUGCACACGUUUAUUGGGAGAGCUUGAUUGCAGAGGCGAAGAGAUCCUGAGCCCAGAACUGGUGCUGCUUAUAUAGGCCUAGGAGAGGCGUGUCUCACACCCGGAUUGGUUAUGCACUAAGCCUCAUUUGCAUGUUCCUCAUCUGAUUGGCUACUCUCUCUCUCUCUGUACCUCACAGAGCCUCAUUAUCAUACCUCAUUUGCGUGUCUCACAUCUGAUUGGUUAUACUCUCAAAGCCUCAUUAUCAUGCCCGGGCCAGGCAGUGUCUUUGCAAAAAACUUUACUGCAUAUGUACACAUUGGUUGUUUGUCCAAACUUAUGCGUGAUGGCCAGCAGUAGUCAGUGCCACUCUGCAAUGGCACAUGUGGCUUCCCACACCAGUUUCCUGCAGAGGAGGAGGGAGAAGGGAGAGAGAAUUUUAGUAAAGAAGACCUGAGAGAAUUAUGUUUACCUUCUAUCACUAAGAUUCUAAAACCAUGGCAGAAUUGCUUCCAUUGCCUCUGUACCUUGGGAUUGGGGUAGAGAGACUUGAAGGAUUAACAGCUCCAGAGCCUACAGUCCAGCACUCCCAUCCCCAUGUCUCUAAGGCUUCUGCCGGGGUCUGGGAGAGGCCAAAGGGGAAGAGUUACCUAACAGAAACAAAAGCUUCACUUAGGUCAGAUGUAAUUGUUCCUCGGUACAUUCCAGAGAAGCCACUCCUUAUGAGGUUAAUGGGGGUGGGGGUGGGGGUGGGCAUUUUCAUCCAAAUCACCAUAUUCCACUCCCUGGCUCUCAUAGGCUUGUAGCCAUAUCAUAAUGAAAGCUACAUUUAGUCCAACUUCAAAAGUCCCCAUAGUCGAUCACAGUAGCAGCAUUGUUUAAAACUUCAAAGUUCAACCUCUCUUCUGAAUCUCAUGCAAACUUUUAACUCUAAUUCCCUGUGAAAACAAAAUGAAAAAGAAGAUCACAUACCUUCAACAUAUAAUGGCACAGGGUAUAUACAUUCCUGUUCCAAAAGCAUGGAAAGGGAGCAACAUGAAGAAAUACUGGACCAAAGCAAGACUGAAAACCAAACCAAACCAAAGCAAACUCCAGACUGCAUCCUCAUUUCUGAUGUCCAAAUACUCUUCAUAUCUCUAACUCCUUUCUGUUUGUGAUGGUUUCCUUCAUAUCCUAAGCGAGGCUGUUCUGGGACUUGCUCUGUAGACUAGUCUGGCCUCGAAAGGCAUGAACCAGCACCACACCUGGCCCUUAGCUUUUCUUUAAUUUCCUUUUCACAAGUUAGAAGCCUAGUUGGCUGGGAUCUUGCUCUGAGAUCACCAUGUCUGUUACUCCACCUAGCACCAGGCUUUUCUUCCAUCUCAUCACACAUCCUGGUGCCCCUUUUCUCCUCCAACAGUCUACUUUGUAUUUACCUUUGCUCAGCUUGCUCCUUUUCAUUAUGGAUCUGCACAAGACUGGCGACUAAUAGCCACAAAACAUAGUUUAUAAUAGGUUAUUUGAAAAUGUCCUCUGAUAAAGCUGAUAGUCUAUAGCUCUUCAAUUUAACCUAAGGAAGGCUUUUUUUUUUUUUUUUUUAAAGACAAGGAGAGAAAACAGCAACAUUCUUCACCAAGAUACCACAAGAAUGAUCUCUAGGCUACAUAUUAAUAUUCUCUUCCAAGCCUCUUGAGCCAGGCAUCCACAAUUCAAAUCACUCUCAGCACCACUGUCUUCCAUGCUUAUACUAGUAUGACCCACUAAACUCCAUUUAAAGGAUUCAACUGCUUUUCUAACCCAAAGUCCCAAUGUGUUCCACACUUCUCAUCAUAUUUUGUAAACAUCCUCUCUUACCUCCUGAUUGGAUUAAUAAAAAAUCUGGAGGAGAGACUAGGUGGGACUUCCAGUAGAGAUAGGAACUCAGGAAAGAGUCAGGUAUGGGAGAAUUUGCUAUCAAGCCAGAUACAGAGGAAGAAACAGCCUGAGAGUGAAGGUGAGGUAACUAACAAGCCAUGUGGCAGAACUUAGAUUAGUAUAAAUGGGCUAAUUAAGUUAUAUGAGUGAGUCAGGAACAAGAGUAAGCUAGUCCCAAAGCUAUAUUAAUAAAUGUAAGUCUUUGUGUCUUUACUCAGAGCUGGGGCAGGCAUAUAGAGUAUAUACAGCUCUACACCAUGACCGCAGCAACUCUUAUAAAGGAAAACAUUUAAUCGGAGCUAGCUUACAGUUCAGAGGCUUAGUUCUGUUAUUGUCAUGGUGGAAAACAUGGCAGCAUGCAGGUAGACAUGGUGCUGGAGAGGUAGCUGAGAGUUCUACAUCUGGAUCAACAGACAGCAGGAAGAAAUGGAGACAGUGGGCCUGGCUUGAGCAUCUGAGACCUCAAAGCCUAUCCCCAAUGACACAUUUCCUUCAACAAAGCCACAUCUACUCCAAGAAGGCCACACCUUCUAAUAGUGCCACUCUCUAAAGCCUUAUGGGAACCAUCCAUGCAACCCCCCACACUUCUGUAUGCUCAGGAGUAUUGAGUGGGUGGGUGCUGUGCAGCGGGAAACUCAGACUGACAGAGUGAGAGCCAGAUUUAACAGCUUAUUAUUUCUUCUUUUACCUGUUUAACCAUCUUGCUGGUACCAUAAUUAUAUUUUAAUUUUUAGUUAGAUACCUGAUUGUUAGUUUCUUUGUCAUUAUUGUUUAAUUUUGACUUCAGUCUUACAGUGUGGCAACAUUUGUCUGUCUUCUGGGUAUGUUUUAGGUUUUGGAUGUUAAUGUUGGUUAUUUUCACUCGAUUCACUUUUUUUGACAUAUCAUAAGUCUUCUCCAUUUGAAAAGCUUUAUAAAAUGGCUUUUUAAUGUAAGUUUCACAUGGUCAAACCUGUUAUAUAAUUUGUCAUUUCUAUUUUAUUCUGUAAAAUUCUUUCUGAGCUCUCUAACCUCCAUUCUGCUCCUAGGACAAGUAUCUCUAGAUUUUUAUUGUCAGUUUUGUUUUGGGCACAUUACAAUGCUGUCAGCUUUCAAUAUCCAUUGACUCUGCACCUACAGAUAUAACCAAGUUAAAAAAAUUAAAUUGUGUCUAUCAAGGUCAAACUCCUUUCUUAUCAUUAUUCCCUAGACAAUGUAUCAUAGCAAUUAUUUUAUGAUGUUUGUAUUAAAUGAAGUUUAAUAUAUAAUCCACUGAUUAUGUAGGAGGUCUUGUGUAUUGAUUAUGUAGGAGGUCUUGUGUAUUGAUUAUGUAGGAGGUCUUGUGUAUUGAUUAUGUAGGAGGUCUUGUGUAUUGAUUAUGUAGGAGGUCUUGUGUAUUGCCUAUAUGCAUAUUGAGCAGGGUUUUACUUAAAGGAUUUGAAUGUCUUUGCAAAGGAAUCAUACAAAGUUUCCUACAAACACAGAAAUGAUUGUACCUCUAAUAUUUGUAUCAUUUGCUUAUGUUUCUUUACUGUAAAUAAAAUAGAAUGUCCUUUAUGAAACAUAAAAAUAUUAAAAGGCUAACAUACUACCAAAA
This is a long non-coding RNA of Mus musculus (house mouse), 4158 nucleotides long. RefSeq annotates it as predicted gene, 46882. The transcript is spliced from 2 exons. The record is from RefSeq and is a predicted model, not a curated record. Lineage: Eukaryota; Metazoa; Chordata; Mammalia; Rodentia; Muridae.